UGAAGCUCGUGAACGCACUGGAAGUCUUUAUCAGUUCCGAGCAGUAUUCGGACAUUGGCGGGUUGGACAGGCAAAUCCAGAAAUUGAUUGAGGCCGUCGUGCUGCCGACGACGCAAAAGGACAAGUUCAAGAACCUGAGAAUUCAUCCACCGAAGUCGACCUACCUGAAGCUGGCCGGCCAGUAGCUGGUGCAGAUGUUCAUCGGAGACGGUGCCAAGCUCGUCUGGGGCGCGUCCGCACUGACCAAGGAAAAGUCGCCGGUGGUUUAAUUUCUUUUUAUUUGUGAAAUCAGUUUUUUUGUAUUGUUAGAUAUGAUGAAAAAAAAACGAUAUUGACCGCCCCUCC
This is a long non-coding RNA of Culex quinquefasciatus (southern house mosquito), 345 nucleotides long. RefSeq lists it as uncharacterized. The transcript is spliced from 3 exons. Lineage: Eukaryota; Metazoa; Arthropoda; Insecta; Diptera; Culicidae. The record is from RefSeq and is a predicted model, not a curated record.